UCCAAAUGUUGGUGUGAGACCAAACAGUUGCGAAAUUAGCUCAAGUGAUAGAAGCGCCGCAACGGCAGACUACAGUACUUUUGCUACUUAAAACCCUAAAAAAAGCCCUACUUCUCACCUCACCACCCUCUUUAAAAGUCAGAUCACUUCUCAAUAUAUUCCUCACCUUUCAUCACCCAACUACUCCUUCUCAAUGUCAUCUCUCUCAAAUUCAAAUACAAAUACAUUGCCUUAUGUUCGAUACUUUCGUCAAUGACUUUAUUCAUUCGAGAAUACGAUUUCGAUUUCUCUCGCAUUCAAAAGUAUAAGUAUGAUUAAGGCCAUUGAUGAGGGUAUUGAAGAUAAUCUUCUGGCAAUUUAAACCUUUUUUUGUUCACCUGUUCGUAGUAGUAUCUGAAGUAUUCGGUUUGUUUUCAGUGCCUUAAUUAAUGGUCUUAAUUACGCAAAUAAAGCCUUAGUUAAUAAAGGCCAUUGAUUAAGGUAUUGAAUAUCAAAUCGCUUAAUCUGAUUUUCCGUUAAUUAAGCCCAUUAAUUAAGAUUAGCAAAAGAUGAAGAUGAAGAUGAAGAAUUUGAAGAAUAGAGUUGAGAUAAUUGUAUUUUGAUUAUGAAUUUGUAAUUAGAAGUGCAUAAAAGAAAAGCUUCAUAUACUGGUUUAUGUGGAUAAUUUAAAUCACAUUUGACUCGUUCCCUUGAAGCGAUAUUACUAUGUGUUGUUUUUGUAUAAUUUCUCCGUCGUUUUUCAUUUUAAUUAGCGUCGGAGUUUACUGGAGCAGCUAAAUUUACUUUAUAUUAGUAGAUCUAAUAUCUGCGUGUUUUCCACUUUCGAUCUUAAUAUAAUACUGCAUCAGUUUCAUUUUGAUA
Molecule: long non-coding RNA, 861 nt
Organism: Beta vulgaris subsp. vulgaris (sugar beet)
Lineage: Eukaryota; Viridiplantae; Streptophyta; Magnoliopsida; Caryophyllales; Amaranthaceae
Exons: 2
Source: RefSeq, a predicted model, not a curated record